AUGCGAGCGUUAUCCGGAUUUAUUGGGUUUAAAGGGUGCGCAGGCGGACAGUCAAGUCAGCGGUAAAAUCGCGGGGCUCAACCCCGCUCAGCCGUUGAAACUGAUUAUCUAGCGUGGCGUCGAGGUAUGCGGAAUGCGUUGUGUAGCGGUGAAAUGCAUAGAUAUGACGCAGAACUCCAAUUGCGAAGGCAGCAUACCGGGCGCCUACGGACGCUGAGGCACGAAAGCGUGGGUAUCG
Molecule: ribosomal RNA, 238 nt
Filed under: uncultured bacterium
Lineage: Bacteria
Description: partial 16S ribosomal RNA
Rfam family: Bacterial small subunit ribosomal RNA
Source: RNAcentral